RNAcentral lists this long non-coding RNA (1035 nucleotides) under Rattus norvegicus (Norway rat). RNAcentral's name for it is "long non-coding RNA NONRATT007066". The record is from RNAcentral. Lineage: Eukaryota; Metazoa; Chordata; Mammalia; Rodentia; Muridae.
AGGCAGAGACAGAAGGAUGUCUGUGAGUUCCAGGUUCGCCUUGUCGACAUAGAAAGACUGUCUCAGUCAGUCAGUCAAUCAAUCAGUCAAUAAAUUUGAUGAAAAAAGAAAAGCCAAUGUUAUACUGAGAUCUGCCUUUUUCUUACCAGAAUAACCAAACUGGUACUAAGUCAAACAAGAUAGGUGUAUCCACCUUCUUCCCCAGAUGGCGGCCAUCUUUGGUGGGCCAGUUACUAAGAUGCGAGCUUACCCAGUAGUCCACCAGCAGUUAUAAUGUUAAAACUAUCCUACUGGGCUAGAUUUAUGUUAUGACCUUGAACUCAUAGACCUGGCUCUGCGUACUGAGUUACACACUCAGCUAAAACACAAUUUCUUUUUUAAAUAUGACUUUUAACUCAUUUAGUUUUAAGCCUCCCCUUUCCUUCAGUCAGAGUCAUUCACAAACCAUGCUGUGUCCCUGCUGCCUGUACCCUUCCCAGAGCGUCCUCUGUGACCCCUGUCUUCCACUUGAGCACUGCUGUAUCUGGGCUGUUUUUACAUUUGUACCUGCUCUGUAAGUCUGCUCUGGUCUUUGUUAGAGAUAGAAUGUGGCUUUCUGCAGUGUUCUCUUCUUCUCUAUCCUUUAAAUGUGUGUCCCGUUGGUCUUCUGCUUUCCAAAUGUUCUCUAUGGACUGUGAUUAUGUUAAUAAAGUAUCCCUGAGUGUGAGACACGCCUGCGUCUGCCUCCUUUAGCAGGGUGGGUUUACCAGGAACUUUCUAUAUGUCACUCGAUUAUUAUGGGGGGCAGGUGGGAAGGCCUUGUGUUCUCUCAGCUCUCUGAUGUUCACCCUGUUUUCUUAUUUGUUUGUUACAUUGUCCCCUUUCAGGAGCAAUUAUGUUUGCCUCUGCACAUUUUAGAAGAGAAAGGGUUGGGCCAGGUUGCAGUGACAGUCCAGGCCCUCCUGGAACUUGCCCCACCCAAGCAGCAGCCGCAGCAGCAGCCACCACAGCUCUCUGCUGUCUGAGGUCUCCCCGGGCCCUGCAUGUUGGCACAGC